GGCGAGUGGCGAACGGGUGAGUAAUGCACCGGAACGUACCCAGUAAUGGGGGAUAACACAUCGAAAGAUGUGCUAAUACCGCAUACGCCCUGAGGGGGAAAGCGGGGGAUCGUAAGACCUCGCGUUAUUGGAGCGGCCGAUGUCGGAUUAGCUAGUUGGUGGGGUAAAGGCCCACCAAGGCGACGAUCCGUAGCUGGUCUGAGAGGACGAUCAGCCACACUGGGACUGAGACACGGCCCAGACUCCUACGGGAGGCAGCAGUGGGGAAUUUUGGACAAUGGGGGCAACCCUGAUCCAGCCAUGCCGCGUGAGUGAAGAAGGCCUUCGGGUUGUAAA
This 336-nucleotide ribosomal RNA is filed under the name uncultured bacterium. RNAcentral's name for it is "bacterial SSU rRNA". It matches the Rfam family "Bacterial small subunit ribosomal RNA", at positions 90 to 429 of the family's 1533-position model. The record is from RNAcentral.